This 570-nucleotide ribosomal RNA is filed under the name Vibrio sp. YZZY-F10. RNAcentral's name for it is "bacterial SSU rRNA". It matches the Rfam family "Bacterial small subunit ribosomal RNA", at positions 64 to 617 of the family's 1533-position model. The record is from RNAcentral. Lineage: Bacteria; Pseudomonadati; Pseudomonadota; Gammaproteobacteria; Vibrionales; Vibrionaceae.
GGAAACGAGUUAUCUGAACCUUCGGGGAACGAUAACGGCGUCGAGCGGCGGACGGGUGAGUAAUGCCUAGGAAAUUGCCUUGAUGUGGGGGAUAACCAUUGGAAACGAUGGCUAAUACCGCAUAAUGCCUACGGGCCAAAGAGGGGGACCUUCGGGCCUCUCGCGUCAAGAUAUGCCUAGGUGGGAUUAGCUAGUUGGUGAGGUAAUGGCUCACCAAGGCGACGAUCCCUAGCUGGUCUGAGAGGAUGAUCAGCCACACUGGAACUGAGACACGGUCCAGACUCCUACGGGAGGCAGCAGUGGGGAAUAUUGCACAAUGGGCGAAAGCCUGAUGCAGCCAUGCCGCGUGUAUGAAGAAGGCCUUCGGGUUGUAAAGUACUUUCAGUUGUGAGGAAGGGGGUGUCGUUAAUAGCGGCAUCUCUUGACGUUAGCAACAGAAGAAGCACCGGCUAACUCCGUGCCAGCAGCCGCGGUAAUACGGAGGGUGCGAGCGUUAAUCGGAAUUACUGGGCGUAAAGCGCAUGCAGGUGGUUCAUUAAGUCAGAUGUGAAAGCCCGGGGCUCAACCUCG